RNAcentral lists this ribosomal RNA (208 nucleotides) under uncultured bacterium. RNAcentral's name for it is "partial 16S ribosomal RNA". It matches the Rfam family "Bacterial small subunit ribosomal RNA", at positions 568 to 775 of the family's 1533-position model. The record is from RNAcentral.
CUCGUAGGCGGUUCGUCGCGUCCGGUGUGAAAGUCCAUCGCUUAACGGUGGAUCUGCGCCGGGUACGGGCGGGCUGGAGUGCGGUAGGGGAGACUGGAAUUCCCGGUGUAACGGUGGAAUGUGUAGAUAUCGGGAAGAACACCAAUGGCGAAGGCAGGUCUCUGGGCCGUUACUGACGCUGAGGAGCGAAAGCGUGGGGAGCGAAACA